CAAUAGCGUAUACUAAAGUUGUUGCAGUUAAAAAGCUCGUAGUUGGAUUUCUGGUCGUGGGCAUCGGUCGACCCCUCACGGGGUCUGUACCUGGUGUCUGCAGCCUUCCUCGGGGAGAGCGCAUCUGACAUUAAAUUGCCGGGUGCGGGAUCCUCGUCAUUUACUGUGAGCAAAAUAGAGUGUUCAAAGCAGGCUUAGGCCGUUGAAUACAUUAGCAUGGAAUAAUAAGAUAAGACCUUGGUCUAUUUUGUUGGUUUGCGUCCAAGGUAAUGAUUAAUAGGGAUAGUUGGGGGUAUUCGUAUUCAAUUGUCAGAGGUGAAAUUCUUGGAUUUAUGGAAGACGAACUACUGCGAAAGCAUUUACCAAGGAUGUUUUCAUUAAUCAAGAACGAAAGUUAGGGGAU
This 403-nucleotide ribosomal RNA is filed under the name uncultured Chrysophyceae. Its description in RNAcentral is "SSU rRNA". It matches the Rfam family "Eukaryotic small subunit ribosomal RNA", at positions 592 to 998 of the family's 1831-position model. Lineage: Eukaryota; Chrysophyceae. The record is from RNAcentral.